UACAGAGGGGGCAAGCGUUGUUCGGAAUUACUGGGCGUAAAGAGCUCGUAGGCGGUUUGUUGCGUCGGCUGUGAAAACCCGUGGCUCAACCAUGUGGUCUGCAGUCGAUACGGGCAGGCUAGAAUUCGGUAGGGGAGACUGGAAUUCCUGGUGUAGCGGUGAAAAUGCGCAGAUAUCAGGAGGAACACCAAUGGCGAAGGCAGCUUGCUGGGACGGUACUGACGCUGAGACGCGAAAGCCAGGGAGCGAACGGG
This 254-nucleotide ribosomal RNA is filed under the name uncultured bacterium. Its description in RNAcentral is "partial 16S ribosomal RNA". It matches the Rfam family "Bacterial small subunit ribosomal RNA", at positions 524 to 776 of the family's 1533-position model. The record is from RNAcentral.